GGGUUGUGAGGUUAAGCGACUAAGCGUACACGGUGGAUGCCCUGGCAGUCAGAGGCGAUGAAGGGCGUGCUAAUCUGCGAUAAGCGCCGGUAAGGUGAUAUGAACCGUUAUAACCGGCGAUACCCGAAUGGGGAAACCCAGUGUGACUCGUCACACUAUCAUUAACUGAAUCCAUAGGUUAAUGAGGCGAACCGGGGGAACUGAAACAUCUAAGUACCCCGAGGAAAAGAAAUCAACCGAGAUUCCCCCAGUAGCGGCGAGCGAACGGGGAGGAGCCCAGAGCCUGAAUCAGCAUGUGUGUUAGUGGAAGCGUCUGGAAAGGCGCGCGAUACAGGGUGACAGCCCCGUACACAAAAGCGCAUGUGCUGUGAGCUCGAUGAGUAGGGCGGGACACGUGGUAUCCUGUCUGAAUAUGGGGGGACCAUCCUCCAAGGCUAAAUACUCCUGACUGACCGAUAGUGAACCAGUACCGUGAGGGAAAGGCGAAAAGAACCCCGGCGAGGGGAGUGAAAAAGAACCUGAAACCGUGUACGUACAAGCAGUGGGAGCACAGGUUUACCUGUGUGACUGCGUACCUUUUGUAUAAUGGGUCAGCGACUUAUAUUCUGUAGCAAGGUUAACCGAAUAGGGGAGCCGGAGGGAAACCGAGUCUUAAUUGGGCGUUAAGUUGCAGGGUAUAGACCCGAAACCCGGUGAUCUAGCCAUGGGCAGGUUGAAGGUUGGGUAACACUAACUGGAGGACCGAACCGACUAAUGUUGAAAAAUUAGCGGAUGACCUGUGGCUGGGGGUGAAAGGCCAAUCAAACCGGGAGAUAGCUGGUUCUCCCCGAAAGCUAUUUAGGUAGCGCCUCGUGAAUUCAUCUCCGGGGGUAGAGCACUGUUUCGGCUAGGGGGCCAUCCCGGCUUACCAACCCGAUGCAAACUGCGAAUACCGGAGAAUGUUAUCACGGGAGACACACGGCGGGUGCUAACGUCCGUCGUGAAGAGGGAAACAACCCAGACCGCCAGCUAAGGUCCCAAAGUCAUGGUUAAGUGGGAAACGAUGUGGGAAGGCCCAGACAGCCAGGAUGUUGGCUUAGAAGCAGCCAUCAUUUAAAGAAAGCGUAAUAGCUCACUGGUCGAGUCGGCCUGCGCGGAAGAUGUAACGGGGCUAAACCAUGCACCGAAGCUGCGGCAGCGACACUGUGUGUUGUUGGGUAGGGGAGCGUUCUGUAAGCCUGCGAAGGUGGCCUGUGAGGG
RNAcentral lists this ribosomal RNA (1239 nucleotides) under Salmonella enterica subsp. enterica serovar Enteritidis. RNAcentral describes it as "partial 23S ribosomal RNA". It matches the Rfam family "Bacterial large subunit ribosomal RNA", at positions 1 to 1269 of the family's 2925-position model. Lineage: Bacteria; Pseudomonadati; Pseudomonadota; Gammaproteobacteria; Enterobacterales; Enterobacteriaceae. The record is from RNAcentral.